UGUCUCUGUAGCUCAGUGGAUAGAGCGCCGCCCUCCGGAGGCGGGUGCGCCAGUUCGAUUCUGGUCAGAGACGG
This 74-nucleotide transfer RNA is filed under the name Dorea ammoniilytica. Its description in RNAcentral is "tRNA-Arg". It matches the Rfam family "tRNA". Rfam says of the family: Transfer RNA (tRNA) molecules are approximately 80 nucleotides in length. Their secondary structure includes four short double-helical elements and three loops (D, anti-codon, and T loops). RNAcentral also lists the same sequence under 2 other names. The record is from RNAcentral. Lineage: Bacteria; Bacillati; Bacillota; Clostridia; Lachnospirales; Lachnospiraceae.